AUGGAGAUGCUUUGUUGAUGGCCAUCUAAUCCCUCAUCUCUCUGGGAUUGGGAUUAGAUGACCAUCAGCGAACACUUCCAU
Molecule: microRNA precursor, 81 nt
Filed under: Eugenia uniflora (Surinam cherry)
Lineage: Eukaryota; Viridiplantae; Streptophyta; Magnoliopsida; Myrtales; Myrtaceae
Description: miR827 stem-loop (eun-MIR827)
Gene: eun-MIR827
Source: miRBase by way of RNAcentral